GAGAUUAAUACAAAGAUAAUCGCGUUUCUGCCCUUAGAGGAUCUUACAUAUGAGAAGUCACAAACGGUUUCCUCCUGAUUCAAGGAAGAGAAAGAUGUUCUUGUGAGUACAUUGAGGGCAAUUUCUAUCCCCUUCCCUCAAGCGUGGGGCCAUUUUGAGGAGCCUGAAAUAUGGUCCCAGGUGGUUGAGAGACACAAAGGACUGGACAUGCCUGAUAAGCUCAGGUUACCCGUGGCUGCAGAGUGGAGGUGGCCAUGUUGGGAUCUACUGUGUUCCCAGAUUUUGCUGGAGCGAGGGGAUGGGAGUGAUUCCCUUAUAGCAGAGAUGAGCCCUAUAAAAGAGAAAGAGAUUCUGGAUUCAUUUUGAGUCCUUCUGCCUGAGAGUAAGAACGCCCACACGGCAAGAGUCAAUGGCGGCAGAAAGAGAGUGGUGACUGCGAGCAGCACAUCAACACCUCACGGGGUCACCGUUGGGAGUGGCCUCUAAAGGCCCUUGGAGUGGCCACAGGACAGACCUGGUCUCUAUCAGACCAGAGAGAGCCUGUGGUACUGCACCGUCCAGACCUUUGCGAGGUUCUACUCUUCCUUUCUUCUCAUGUUCCCCUCUCGGUGCAUUUGCGCAGGAGGGGUCAGAAGCUGCCCACCAAACUGAGUGGAGGAUAUAGAGAAGAAAGGCAAGAUGGGGAGCAACCUCAGCUGGAGAAGAGAACAAGAUCUGGUAACAGAAUUACAGAAUUUGGAGCCAUCAUAAGGAAUGAAAUAUUAGCAUUUGUGGCAACCUGGAUGGAGUUGGAGACAAUUGUUGUAAGUCAAGUAACUCAGGAAUGGAAACCAAGUAUCAUAUGUUCUCACUUACAAGUGGGAGUUAAGCUAUGAGUAUGCAAAGGUGUAAGAAUGAUAUAAUGGACUUUGGGGACUCAGGGGAAAGGAGGGAGAGGGGUGAAGAAUAAGACUGACUACACAGUGGGUACAGUGUACACUGCUCUGGUGAUAGGUGCACCGAAAUCUCAGAAGUCACCACCAAAGAACUUAUCCAUGUAACCCAAAAGCACCUGUUCCCCCAAAACUACUGAAAUAAAAUAAAAUUGAAAACAAACAAAAAGAAGUACAGAGUUUCAACAGUCAAAUGUCACUCCAAGAACUAGGACCAGAGCGUUUCCAGCUCUUCCCAAGGCCUGUUCUGGGAGCCACUUUGUGUCAGCGCUGUCUGCACGUCUCUGGUUAUAACCUCAUUUUCCUAAGUGGCAUGAUGCUCACUUUCGGUGGUUGUUCAUUUUAGGUAAAUGGCAAGCCCGUGGGACAAAUAGGGGCGAUUUCUCCCCUCAGGUAGUGCAGACCCGAUGCAGGUUAGGUGCCUGAGGAGGCUGUGAUGAGCAGGUGGUCCUGACAUGGGAGAGUCCCACAAGGCCCAGAGGUGGGUCAUUCUUGGCACACUGAUGGCACAACAAAGAUCCUCACGUGAGGACCCAUCACUAGGCUUUGCACUGUCACCAUGGCAAAGGAAACGGCUGUGACUCUUCCGUUUUAUUCUUAUAUAUAUGCUCCUCAACUUACAAUGGACUAUGUCCUAAUAAAUCCAUCAUCAGUCAAAACUAUCAUGUGUCAAAAAUGCACCUAACGCUGCUAACACAGCAGAUGGUCCCUGACUUUCAACCGUUCCAUUUGUGCUUUUGCCAUGUUGAGACAGUGCUGGAGCAAGGUGCUCUCAGUAGAAAUCGUAACCCUAUCAUGUUUUAUAAGGAGCUCCUCUACCUACAGUGGGGUUACCUCCCAAAAGACCCAUCUCAGAGUUGAGAAUUCUUAAGUUGAAGCAUCAUAAGUCAAGGACUGUGUGUGUGCAUUUUACUUACAUAGAAAGGUUACACAAUCCAUGUGUACCUUAUAAUACAUACUGGGGUCAUAGCUACAGGAGAGUUCUGAAGUCUGUGAUAGCCCCACUUCCUUCACUUAGUUAAUUACAACCUAUUUCUAAAUACAAUUGGUCACAUUCUGAGGUACUUGGCAUUAAGACUUCAACAUUUAUUUGUGGGAGAUACCAU
Long non-coding RNA from Macaca nemestrina (pig-tailed macaque), 2038 nucleotides. The record is from Ensembl. NCBI's taxonomy places the organism in Eukaryota, Metazoa, Chordata, Mammalia, Primates, Cercopithecidae.